Molecule: ribosomal RNA, 580 nt
Filed under: uncultured bacterium
Lineage: Bacteria
Description: bacterial SSU rRNA
Rfam family: Bacterial small subunit ribosomal RNA
Source: RNAcentral
CGGAGAUACUGAGGUAGCUUGCUACUUAAGUAUCUUAGUGGCGGACGGGUGAGUAACACGUGGGUAACCUACCCUAAAGAGGGGGAUAACACCGAGAAAUCGGUGCUAAUACCGCAUAAUAUUAGUACUUCGCAUGAAGUACUAAUCAAAGGAGGAAUCCGCUUUAGGAUGGGCCCGCGGCUGAUUAGCUAGUUGGUGAGGUAACGGCUCACCAAGGCGACGAUCAGUAGCCGAUCUGAGAGGAUGACCGGCCACACUGGAACUGAGACACGGUCCAGACUCCUACGGGAGGCAGCAGUGGGGAAUAUUGCACAAUGGGGGAAACCCUGAUGCAGCGACGCCGCGUGGAGGAAGAAGGUCUUCGGAUUGUAAACUCCUGUCAUUCGGGACGAAUAAUGACGGUACCGGAUGAGGAAGCCACGGCUAACUACGUGCCAGCAGCCGCGGUAAUACGUAGGUGGCGAGCGUUGUCCGGAAUUACUGGGCGUAAAGGGCGCGUAGGCGGUCUGCUAAGUCAGAUGUGAAAACCCCGGGCUCAACCUGGGGAUUGCAUUUGAAACUGGCAGACUAGAGUGUCGGA